This 936-nucleotide long non-coding RNA is filed under the name Homo sapiens (human). Its description in RNAcentral is "small nucleolar RNA host gene 17, transcript variant 14 (SNHG17)". Lineage: Eukaryota; Metazoa; Chordata; Mammalia; Primates; Hominidae. The record is from RNAcentral.
AGUCCUUCGCCGUCCCUCGCCGUCCUUCGCCAUCGCACGCCACCGCACCCCAUCUCUCGAAAUCUGCAGACAUCUUGAUUUUUCCCACGCUGUCUGUCAGGUCUCCGCCGCCACUCGACGCCAGGGCGCCGGGCCUUGUGGGCUGUGCUGCACCUCGGACGGCUUCGCACCAGCCAGCGCCCUCUCUCUCCUGCAGCACUCUGAUCUGCACCCCCUGAGGGGCUUCCACUGUCCGCGGGGUGAGAAUGCCCCUGGGAGUGUCACAUGACUGCCGCCCCAUGUGUGUGAGAGGCGUCCUCUGGGAGAGCAUGGAUCCUGAGGUCCCAGGAUUGUCAGCUGACCUCUGUCCUGUGUGCCCAGUGGCCCCAGGUGACGUGUCUUCAAGAAGAGGCUGAGCUGCGGUGCUUGUAAGGCAGGGUCUCAUUCUGUCACCCAGGCUGGAGUGCAGUGGUGCAAUGAUGGCUCACUGCAGCCUCGACCUGGGCUCAAGUGAUCCUCCACCUCAGCUUCCUGAGUAGCUGGGACCACAGGUCUCAGCCUUAGAUCCAAGGACAGUCCAAGGAAGUCCUAAGACCAUGGAGUUGGUGAUCUGGGAUCUGGGUUUGCUGAUAUUUCUCACCGUGAAUCUCUUGGUGGUGUUUGUGGGCACGAGAGGGGCAGAGAAUGGAGAGUGAGGCUACCACAUGAAGCGUCACCAGAGCUGCUCCCUGCUGCCUGCUCAGAGCACCCCGGAUCCACUGUUCAAUCUGCACAAGAUUCGGGGUCCAGACAUGGGAGACUUCAGCUGCCUCAGAGGACCGUGGACAGGGAAGGCCAGCCUCGCAUCCCUCUGUCCAUGCCUGGAAUGACUUUAAUAACCAAGAGUUUUAUUUUUGAAUUUGUAGCUGUCGUUCACUUUUUACCCACCCAUUCAAUAAACCUUACAGAAUUGCUCCA